ACAAAACAAAAACCCUAAAACAACAGAACAGCGGCUCCAUCAAUCUUCAACUCGGAGUCACAGAAACAGAGAGAAACUCACAAAAUUCGAUAUCAAGCUUCUUCACACUGAACCAGAAGUAUCAAUUCAUCAAUGGCGAAGAGAAAGGAAAGGAUUCAGAAUCCAGAACCAUUUGUUCCAGAUGGUACUGAAUAUGCCAAAACCAAGAAAAGUUCCAAAGCUGCUAAAAAGCAUCAAAAGGAAGGUGAACUCAUUGAUUCUCAUAUCAGUUCAAAGAUUAUGAAGGAGGCUUUGAUUCAACUCAAGGAAGUUGAAGAUGAAGAACAAGCUAAGGAGGAAAAUGUUGCUAGAAGUUCGUUCCAACGUAUUGAAGAGGUUCCUAAUGUUGUUGAAGAUAAUGAUGGUGAUAUUGAUGAUUUUUGUGGAUUUGGUGAAAUGGAAGUCCAAUUUAAUGAAAUGAAAUUUGGUGAUGAUGAUGUUGAAAAGCAAAACCAAUUUGGUGAUGUUGAUAAAAUUAGUAAGGAGGAAGAGGAACUAUUGGAAACAUUCUUUUCCAAGGACCCGAAGGUCGAUAAAACAUUUACAGACAUCAUGAUUAAAAGAUUAAAAGAAAGUGAUGUUACUGUUGCCUCAGAGGAUCGACCAAUGCCUAAUAUGGAUAAACCAAUACUUGAUCUAUACAAGGGGGUUGCAAAACUUCUCAGCAGAUAUACAGUAGGCAAAAUUCCCAAGGCAUUGAAACACAUCCCCUCAUUGCAAAACUGGGAGGAGGUCUUAUAUGUUACUGAACCUGAAAAUUGGUCUCCAAAUGCCCUGUAUCAAGCUACUAGGAUUUUUGCUUCUAAUUUUGGUGCCAAAAAAGCUGAGCGCUUCUACAAGCUUGUGUUGCUUCCAAGAGUUAGAGAAGACAUACGAAAGAACAAACGGCUGCAUUUUGCUUUAUACCAAACACUGAAAAAGGCAUUGUACAAACCUGCUGCUUUCUUUAAGGGAAUACUGUUUCCUCUAUGUGAGUCACAGACAUGCACUCUCAGGGAAGCAGUCAUUGUUGGAAGCAUUAUAGAAAAGGUUUCUAUUCCUCCACUCCAUUCAAGUGUUGCGCUGUUGAAGCUUGCUGGGAUGAAUUAUUGCGGCACUACAAGCUAUUUCAUAAAGCUUUUGGUGGAGAAGAAAUAUGCUUUGCCGUAUCGUGUGGUUGAUGCAGUUGUUGCUCAUUUCAUGAGAUUUGAAAAUGAAACUAGGACAAUGCCUGUUAUAUGGCACCAAUCACUUCUUGCAUUUGUGCAGAGGUACAAAAAUGAACUGCAGAAGGAAGAUAAGGAUAAUUUAAUGAUUCUUCUGGACAAGCAAAAUCAUAAAUUAGUUACACCUGAAAUAAGUAGAGAGCUAAACCACAGCCGUAACCGAGGUGAAAAGGAGGACGAUCUCGAUUCAAUAUAUAUCCUUUUCUUUAAUUUUUUGCCCUCCCUUUCCCUAUUUUGCUUUCAUAAGGUUAGAUACGAAUGCCAUUGCAUGUUUAGUGUCCCUCGAGCAAGGUUCAGGGCAGGUUUAAGGUGAAAAAUUAGAGCUGAAAGUAAGCUUCUUAAUGUUGGGAUAGCGAAAAAUAAGAAUUCAGAUUUUACAUAAAUAAUUAAUAAUACAGAAAGUCUUUGGAUUGCUACACAAAUAUCCAGCUGAGCAUGAAAUUUUGCAAUAAAAAAACACAGGAUCCCCUGUUCCUCUGUAGAUGUUCUGUAGUUUUUGCUGCCAGCAUUUCAGCCUUGGCAAUACAAUCUGGACAACCUUCCUUGAAGCAUAAAUUUCAAAGAAAAUACGCAGAUACUGAAGUAAUUAAUAUUUGAUAUAACGACUCUGGAAACAUAAAUGAUCAAAGAUCAUUUCUCCUUUCUAUUUUUUUUAAUUCGAAUUUCUAUAAGUAAUGACAUUAUUUGAGUUAAGAAAAUGCAUGUGAAAAUCUCUAUUGUUACUGCAAUUGGCAUGUCUGUCUAGUGGUUGUCCAUUUUGAAGGGCUUUCUUGAUCCAUACUAAACAUCUUUUGAAACAUAGCAUGUGUCUAAUUCUAACUUAUGUGGAACCAGCCAUAUUAAGAAUAUAAGAAAAUGUGUUGCCGACUCUUUCCUUGACAGACUAAUACCCGGUCCAGCAACUGUGAUUAACAAGACUAUUGAAGAAGAUAGAUUUGACAUUCCAGACGUACCAAUGGAGAUGGACUAAUUUAUCGAGGUUUUUCCCUUUUGGAGAAAAUGUACACAACCUCAUCUUCUUACUGCUGGUAGUCUCUCCACAAUUUUGUACUUGGAUGCACGUGAAUUAUUGGAUUUGCAUGCUUUAUGUUAUUGUUUUGGGCGAAUUUUCGACUACUGCAUUUUUUGCUUCUGUUUCUUUUCGUUGUAUUCUUACUAUCAGGGUAGUCUAGUAUAAUCAAAAUUAUUACAACACAUCAUAUGAUAUAGCAUUCUUCUUCUACUCUUGGUGUGGAUUAUAUUUAUUUUCUAGAGUAAUCGGACAUUGUAUUACUACUAAUACUAUUACUCAAUAACAUUAGAGAGCUUGUUCAA
Molecule: RNA transcript, 2558 nt
Organism: Trifolium pratense (red clover)
Lineage: Eukaryota; Viridiplantae; Streptophyta; Magnoliopsida; Fabales; Fabaceae
Gene name: bystin
Exons: 10
Source: RefSeq, a predicted model, not a curated record